Molecule: long non-coding RNA, 474 nt
Filed under: Setaria viridis
Lineage: Eukaryota; Viridiplantae; Streptophyta; Magnoliopsida; Poales; Poaceae
Description: long non-coding RNA (SVIR_LNC007690)
Source: RNAcentral
UCACGGGUUAAAAAUUGGCGGGCCACCUUUCGGCCCAAGGAAAAGUUUCGGCCGUGGGCCCCACUUGUCAAGGAAGAAAAGAAGAAGGAGAAUAGAAAACCGGAUGGGCCCUAGGUGGAAGUGAUAGUGGGUAGAAGCGAGUUGGGUGAGAAAAGUUUGGGCCGGGGGUUUUUAUUAAACCUUAGGUUUUCUUUUAUUAGAUAAAUAGAUUAAAUGCUGUUUUCACCAUUUAAUUCACAGGAAAUUCUAGAAGUAUCCAAAAUUAGUAAAACCAAUUUUAUUAGGAUUGUUUUAUUUUCCUUUAUGCAUUAAAAUUCUUAAACCCUAGGAAAAAUAAUAAAAAUUUAGGUAUUUAUUUAAUGCCUUUUUGUUUAAGGUAUUUAAAUAAAUGCUUAAGCUUUAUUAAAUGUAUAAAACUUGAGUAAUGCUUUAUUAUCCACAAAUCAUUAUUAAUUCAUAGGAAGUAAGUUUUUG